This 403-nucleotide ribosomal RNA is filed under the name uncultured bacterium. RNAcentral's name for it is "bacterial SSU rRNA". It matches the Rfam family "Bacterial small subunit ribosomal RNA", at positions 362 to 759 of the family's 1533-position model. The record is from RNAcentral.
UUUUGGACAAUGGGCGCAAGCCUGAUCCAGCCAUGCCGCGUGAGUGAAGAAGGCCUUCGGGUUGUAAAGCUCUUUCGGCCGGGACGAAAUCGCAUGCGUGAAUAUCGUGUGUGGAUGACGGUACCGGAAUAAGAAGCACCGGCUAACUACGUGCCAGCAGCCGCGGUAAUACGUAGGGUGCGAGCGUUAAUCGGAAUUACUGGGCGUAAAGCGUGUGUAGGUGGUUGUCCAAGUUGGAUGUGAAAGCCUUGAGCUCAACUCAAGAAAUGCAUUCAGGACUGGAUGGCUAGAGGACCGGAGAGGAUAGUGGAAUUCCCAGUGUAGUGGUGAAAUACGUAGAGAUUGGGAAGAACACCAGUGGCGAAGGCGGCUAUCUGGACGGUUUCGACACUAAGACCGAAGA